UUUCUCUGGGCCACAUACCCUGGACAUUUUUAAAAAUAGUUAAAAAGCUCAAACGGUGGGUAGGUUGCUCACCAAGAUUUCACCGUGCAAAACCUGGAUUUAACACUUACAAGGGUUGUGAACAUCUGACUGCCAAACAUUGACACUAUUUCGUGACGUAUCGAAGCGGAAGGUGGUAAUUUGAUGCUCUGAAGGACAUGGUUAGUUCAUCACUUCUAGCUCAUUAUUUAGCAAAAUACAGCAGUUACAGAUCAUCUGUAUCUUGGAAUAAAAGAAUUUCUCAAUUCAUGGCGGAUGCUAACACCGGAUAUGUUCAUUCAAUUUUGCGAAAUCUUGACAUCAGGCACUAUUCAACUCAACCGCAAACUUAUACCUGAUUCUAUCAAAAAGCCAACAUUUGCGGAAGAUGACAUAUUUGCAUGCAGAUCAGGAACACGGGCUAUCAACAGAAGAGCACGUGGAGGUAACUUACAAGUAGUAAAUAAGCCAAAUGUAGUGGUCAAUUAUAAUAAAUAUAUGGGAGGUGUCGACCGCGCAGACUCUUAUUCAUACUGUCAUACUGUUUCCUGAGGAAGUCUAUGACAUGGUGGCGAAAGUCAUUUUUCUGGGGACUCGAAAUAUCUAGUGUCAAUGCAUAUCUAUUAUAUAAAAUUUAACAAAGGGACCAAAACUAAAAACCAAUGACACAUCUGAAGUUUAUUCGGGAAUUGGUUGACGAGAUGACAAAAAACGUUUGCCAGAUGGCCAACAACUCUGGAAGACCAUCAUCUGUGGAUACUGAAGAGCGGCUAAAUGGUAAUUCACAUCUUUUACGCCAAAAUGAUGGUGCGAUAUGUUCUGAAAGUAAAGUACUGGUAACUGCUUCGAACGGUACCAUACACCACAACCUUAUAGGAUGUAAUUUAUUAAAAUUGCAUAUACAUUUAUUUUAUGAUUAUGGUAGUGAUUAUGAUAAUGUUAGGUUUUAAUUUGUGUUCGUCCAUCCUCAAGAUUUAUUAUUUUUGUAAGCCAUUACCAAUAAAUACCAAAAUAUAUAAAAUAAA
Long non-coding RNA from Cylas formicarius (sweet potato weevil), 1043 nucleotides. RefSeq lists it as uncharacterized. The transcript is spliced from 4 exons. NCBI's taxonomy places the organism in Eukaryota, Metazoa, Arthropoda, Insecta, Coleoptera, Brentidae. The record is from RefSeq and is a predicted model, not a curated record.